CCUACGGGUGGCAGCAGUGGGGAAUAUUGCUCAAUGGGGGGAACCCUGAUGCAGCGAAGCCGCGUGAGUGAAGAAGUAUUUCGGUAUGUAAAGCUCUAUCAGCAGGGAAGAAAAUGACGGUACCUGACUAAGAAGCCCCGGCUAACUACGUGCCAGCAUCCGCGGGAAUACGUAGGGGGCAAGCGUUAUCCGGAUUUACUGGGGGUAAAGGGAGCGCAGGCGGCUGUGCAAGUCUGGAGGGAAAGGCGGGGGCCCAACCCCCGGACUGCUCUGGAAACUGUAAAGCUGGAGUGCAGGAGAGGUAAGCGGAAUUCCUGGUGUAGCGGUGAAAUGCGUAGAUAUUAGGAGGAACCCCAGUGGCGAAGGCAGCUUACUGGACUGCAACUGACGUUGAGGCUCGAAAGCGUGGGGAGCAAACAGGAUUAGAUACCCGGGUAGUC
RNAcentral lists this ribosomal RNA (440 nucleotides) under uncultured bacterium. Its description in RNAcentral is "partial 16S ribosomal RNA". It matches the Rfam family "Bacterial small subunit ribosomal RNA", at positions 338 to 795 of the family's 1533-position model. The record is from RNAcentral.